AUUUUUUUUAUGAACAUUUAAAAAAUGAUCUUGUUAUAAUCGGCAACAUGGCAUAUUAUUUUUGCCGUCAAAGCGUCAAGUGUCAAGUGCGUAACCUUGGUUUAUGAAGUGUCAAUUUUUUUUAAAUUAUGGAUGAUGUUGCUAAACGUCGUGAAGCCCGAAGACGGAAAAUUUUGGAAAAUUCCCAAAACAGGUUAAACCGAAUCUCAGGAGUAGAAGAAAAAUCGACGAAUGCAUGUGCAUAUGAUAAUCAUACAGAAAAUGCGACAGAAAAUCCAUCCAAUUCACAUUUUGAAAUUAACGAGUCUAACGAAACGUUUAUAAACGAAGUACAAACGCAACAGAAUCCAGUGGUAGAAGUUAGGCCCCCUCAGAAGCAAUACAGAAAAAUCGUUAUAAGCGCCUUGGCUGUUUUCGUAAAUGUGUUAUUGUUGUUGAUUGACAAACUGGAGCUUGAUGCAACUCCAUCACAUAGUAAUAAGAUAUUCCUUCCACUGCUUGUAUAUGAGGUGAUUGAGCUCUUGUCUUCGAAUAAUCAUAGAAACAAAAAUAAGAAUUUUCUCAUACUAUUAGCUGCCAAUUUAAACAACAAAUACAUUCUCCCUGUGAUUAAAUAUGUGGAAAUAUUGACGAAUGUUUUACAAGAUGUUAUGGUUUAUUUUUUUGUAUUUGUGUGUUGUGAGUUAGUUAAGUAUCUGUUGAGGAUGGUGGGGUGAUUUAUAAGUUAACUGGUGAAGUGCCUUAAGUUAAUUUGCAUUUCUUAUUUGAGGGUUCAUAUGUAUAUAAAAUUUGCAAUACAAA
Zophobas morio is the source of this 801-nucleotide long non-coding RNA. RefSeq lists it as uncharacterized. The transcript is spliced from 2 exons. The record is from RefSeq and is a predicted model, not a curated record. Lineage: Eukaryota; Metazoa; Arthropoda; Insecta; Coleoptera; Tenebrionidae.